This 407-nucleotide ribosomal RNA is filed under the name uncultured bacterium. Its description in RNAcentral is "partial 16S ribosomal RNA". It matches the Rfam family "Bacterial small subunit ribosomal RNA", at positions 28 to 526 of the family's 1533-position model. The record is from RNAcentral.
GACGAACGCUGGCGGCGUGCUUAACACAUGCAAGUCGAACGAAGUCGCGAACGGGUGAGACACGCGUAGGUCCCCGCCUGGUAGCGGGGGACAACUUUGUGAAACGAUAGCUAAUACCGCAUACUACCAUAUGGACCCGCGUUGUAUUAUCUAGUUGGUGGGGUAACGGCGCACCAAGGCAACGAUACAUAGCCGACCUGAGGGGGUGAUCGGCCACACUGGGACUGAGACACGGCCCAGACUCCUACGGGAGGCAGCAGUAGGGAAGCUUCGGCAAUGGACGGAAGUCUGACCGAGCAACGCCGCGUGAGUGAAGAAGGUUUUCGGAUCGUAAAGCUCUGUUGUAAGAGAAGCGGUAUCUUACCAGAAAGGGACGGCUAACUACGUGCCAGCAGCCGCGGUAAUUC